CCUGACGCAGCAACGCCGCGUGGAGGAUGACACUUUUCGGAGCGUAAACUCCUUUUCUUAGGGAAGAAUUCUGACGGUACCUAAGGAAUAAGCACCGGCUAACUCCGUGCCAGCAGCCGCGGUAAUACGGAGGGUGCAAGCGUUACUCGGAAUCACUGGGCGUAAAGGGCGCGUAGGCGGAUUAUCAAGUCUCUUGUGAAAUCUAAUGGCUUAACCAUUAAACUGCUUGGGAAACUGAUAGUCUAGAGUGAGGGAGAGGCAGAUGGAAUUGGUGGUGUAGGGGUAAAAUCCGUAGAUAUCACCAAGAAUACCCAUUGCGAAGGCGAUCUGCUGGAACUCAACUGACGCUAAGGCGCGAAAGCGUGGGGAGCAAACAGGAUUAGAUACCCUGGUAGUCCACGCCCUAAACGAUGUACACUAGUUGUUGGGGUGCUAGUCAUCUCAGUAAUGCAGCUAACGCAUUAAGUGUACCGCCUGGGGAGUACGGUCGCAAGAUUAAAACUCAAAGGAAUAGACGGGGACCCGCACAAGCGGUGGAGCAUGUGGUUUAAUUCGAAGAUACGCGAAGAACCUUACCUGGGCUUGAUAUCCUAAGAACCUUUUAGAGAUAAGAGGGUGCUAGCUUGCUAGAACUUAGAGACAGGUGCUGCACGGCUGUCGUCAGCUCGUGUCGUGAGAUGUUGGGUUAAGUCCCGCAACGAGCGCAACCCACGUAUUUAGUUGCUAACGGUUCGGCCGAGCACUCUAAAUAGACUGCCUUCGUAAGGAGGAGGAAGGUGUGGACGACGUCAAGUCAUCAUGGCCCUUAUGCCCAGGGCGACACACGUGCUACAAUGGCAUAUACAAUGAGACGCAAUACCGCGAGGUGGAGCAAAUCUAUAAAAUAUGUCCCAGUUCGGAUUGUUCUCUGCAACUCGAGAGCAUGAAGCCGGAAUCGCUAGUAAUCGUAGAUCAGCCAUGCUACGGUGAAUACGUUCCCGGGUCUUGUACUCACCGCCCGUCACACCAUGGGAGUUGAUUUCACUCGAAGCCGGAAUACUAAACUAGUUACCGUCCACAGUGGAAUCAGCGACUGGGGUGAAGUCGUAACAAGGUAACCGUAGGAGAACCUGCGGUUGGAUCACCUCCUUUCUA
This 1134-nucleotide ribosomal RNA is filed under the name Campylobacter coli. Its description in RNAcentral is "bacterial SSU rRNA". It matches the Rfam family "Bacterial small subunit ribosomal RNA", at positions 382 to 1533 of the family's 1533-position model. The record is from RNAcentral. Lineage: Bacteria; Pseudomonadati; Campylobacterota; Epsilonproteobacteria; Campylobacterales; Campylobacteraceae.